Molecule: long non-coding RNA, 1446 nt
Filed under: Canis lupus familiaris (dog)
Lineage: Eukaryota; Metazoa; Chordata; Mammalia; Carnivora; Canidae
Description: lncRNA (ENSCAFG00000058316.1)
Source: RNAcentral
GUGUCAUCUGGGAGCAUAGGGCAACAAGGCGUAGUCCUCAUUUCUUGGGGGGUAGAAUGGGUCAGGGAUCUUAAAAAGGGUCAAAUAGUGCUGUCAGAGCAAUUCCUUUCUCAGAAUAGUUGCUAUAAUUUGGCAAAUGCUUUCUUGAAAAUUGACAUCCCUAUGACACUGACAAUUUAUUAGAGCACCUAAUGUCUUAUCCCAAGGCAUUUUUUUUAACAGUAACUAAUGUCAUAGAUUUCUCCUUUUUUCCUUCUUCCCUUUUUGUUGCUCUUUUUUCCUCAGAGUUCAAAGUGAUCUACUUCUGGAUAUUACUUUUAUAUCAGAGGCCUUCUGUAUCAUCCCUUGGGUUGCUGCAACCAUAGUAUCUUUGGAUAAGAUUCCUCUGUUCCAGUCAGUUCUGGGGAAUUUUUUUCUUUAGCGGAGGUAGGUGGUGGAUAAGGAAGAGAAGCUGUGACAUCAGAGCUACUAUCUAAUAAAAAACAGCUUGUAGUUGAGGCUUCCUUUGUGUCCAUGAUGAGAAACGGGAAAGAGCACCCCUAUUGUCUCAGCACUAAGAAACUGAGGGCAGCCUUCCCUCUUCCUACAGGAGGCUCUUCAUCCCCUCCCCCCCAUAAUUUGCCUUGUUUUUCACUUCCUUAUAAAAUGUCUCCUCUCAUAUUUUUCCUUCCUCCUUUUAAAAAUAAUAGAAAAGGUUUUAAAAGGGGAAUGAAAUGUUUCUGGGUUCCUUGGCACUUUGGCAAGGUAGAAAUUCUAAGCAGCCUCUGCCUAGGACUUUGUCCAUAGUCUGUAGCAAGGCACUGUUAAGUCCCUUGGAUAGGGAUAAAGGGGUAAGGCCCUUCCACCGUCUGUCCCACUCUUGACAUUUUUCUUACCUUUUAACAGAACACACAUAACUACGCUUUCUACCUCAUAGUUUGUUAUGGAAACUAAGGAUGCUGGAGCAGCUUAACCUAUAUACACUGCCUUGAAUGACAUGUUAAAAAAAAUGGCUCUACCAAGCUCUGGGGUAUAUAUUCAGAAUACCUCAUGUCCUGGAAAGUGAGCACAAGCUCCCCUCAAGUGCCUGCCUAGCAGAGCCUAUGUUGCUUCCUUGUACCUGCGCCUCUGACUCAUAUAGCCUUUCCUUGCUCUGAAGCUCUUGACUAGAAAAGAAUUCUGUUUCUAGGUUCUGAGAGAAGUGUGUGUAAAUUUGGAUAGUAGAAGUGCUCUGUUGUGGUCUGGAUGGACAAAAAUUUUCUGCAUGCACUUGAGUAGGUUGCCUAAAAUGCACUGUCACUAUACAGAAAACAUGCAGUUUCCCAAAUAACAUAUCUGAUCAGGUAAGCAUAAUCAACAGGAGUGCAGCAAAUAUGGUUUCAUAAAGUGGGCAGGAAAAAAGCAAUGUAAAUAACUUUUUGAAUAGUCCCCAGCUCACUAAGGAAAGGAGACAUUUUCACAUGUUUU